This 407-nucleotide ribosomal RNA is filed under the name uncultured bacterium. Its description in RNAcentral is "partial 16S ribosomal RNA". It matches the Rfam family "Bacterial small subunit ribosomal RNA", at positions 30 to 526 of the family's 1533-position model. The record is from RNAcentral.
AUUGAACGCUAGCGGGAUGCCUUACACAUGCAAGUCGAACGGAGUGGCGAACGGGUGAGUAAUGUAUCGGAACCUGCCCAGUAGCGGGGGAUAACUCCGCGAAAGCGUAGCUAAUACCGCAUACUAUUGGAGCGGCCGAUGUCGGAUUAGCUAGUUGGUGGGGUAACGGCUCACCAAGGCGACGAUCCGUACCUGGUUUGAGAGGACGACCAGGCACACUGUAACUGAGACACGGCCCAGACUCCUACGGGAGGCAGCAGUGGGGAAGAGUGGAAAAUGGGGGAAACCCUGAGCCAGCCAUCCCGCGUGUGCGAAGAAGGCCUUCGGGUUGUAAAGCACUUUUGGCAGGAAAGCGGUACCUGCAGAAUAAGCACCGGCUAACUACGUGCCAGCAGCCGCGGUAAUUC